This 465-nucleotide ribosomal RNA is filed under the name uncultured bacterium. Its description in RNAcentral is "partial 16S ribosomal RNA". It matches the Rfam family "Bacterial small subunit ribosomal RNA", at positions 339 to 795 of the family's 1533-position model. The record is from RNAcentral.
CUACGGGGCGCUGCAGUAGGGAAUUUUGCGCAAUGGGGGAAACCCUGACGCAGCAACGCCGCGUGAGUGAAGAAGGCCCUCGGGUUGUAAAGCUCUGUUGAUCGGGAAGAUGGGAAGUUGGGGUAACAUUCCAGCUUUUUGACGGUACCGAUCGAGGAAGCACCGGCUAGUUCCGUGCCAGCAGCCGCGGUAAUACGGAAGGUGCAAGCGUUGUUCGGAAUUAUUGGGCGUAAAGGGCGCGUAGGCGAGGAUUUAAGUCAUGUGUGAAAUCCCUCGGCUCAACCGAGGACGUGCAUGUGAAACUGGAUCCAGUGAGUACCGGAGGGGGUAGUGGAAUUCCAUGUGUAGGAGUGAAAUCCGUAGAUACGUGGAGGAACACCGGUGGCGAAGGCGGCUACCUGGCCGGAUACUGACGUUGAGGCGCGAAAGCGUGGGGAGCAAACAGGAUUAGAUACCCGCGUAGUC